CCUACGGGAGGCAGCAGUGGGGAAUAUUGGACAAUGGGCGAAAGCCUGAUCCAGCCAUGCCGCGUGUGUGAAGAAGGUCUUAGGAUCGUAAAGCACUUUAAGUUGGGAGGAAGGGUUGUAGAUUAAUACUCUGCAAUUUUGACGUUACCGACAGAAUAAGCACCGGCUAACUCUGUGCCAGCAGCCGCGGUAA
RNAcentral lists this ribosomal RNA (193 nucleotides) under uncultured bacterium. RNAcentral's name for it is "partial 16S ribosomal RNA". It matches the Rfam family "Bacterial small subunit ribosomal RNA", at positions 338 to 523 of the family's 1533-position model. The record is from RNAcentral.